Molecule: ribosomal RNA, 492 nt
Filed under: uncultured bacterium
Lineage: Bacteria
Description: bacterial SSU rRNA
Rfam family: Bacterial small subunit ribosomal RNA
Source: RNAcentral
GAUGAACGCUAGCUACAGGCUUAACACAUGCAAGUCGAGGGGCAGCAUGAACUUAGCUUGCUAAGUUUGAUGGCGACCGGCGCACGGGUGAGUAACACGUAUCCAACCUUCCGUUUACUCAGGGAUAGCCUUUCGAAAGAAAGAUUAAUACCUGAUAGUAUGGUGAGAUUGCAUGAUAACACCAUUAAAAGAUUUAUCGGUGUACGAUGGGGAUGCGUUCCAUUAGGUAGUAGGCGGGGUAACGGCCCACCUAGCCGACGAUGGAUAGGGGUUCUGAGAGGAAGGUCCCCCCACAUUGGAACUGAGACACGGUCCAAACUCCUACGGGAGGCAGCAGUGAGGAAUAUUGGUCAAUGGACGAGAGUCUGAACCAGCCAAGUAGCGUGAAGGAUGAAGGUCCUACGGAUUGUAAACUUCUUUUAUAAGGGAAUAAACCCUCCCACGUGUGGGAGCUUGUAUGUACCUUAUGAAUAAGCAUCGGCUAACUCCGUG